This is a long non-coding RNA of Amphiprion ocellaris (clown anemonefish), 1505 nucleotides long. The record is from Ensembl. Lineage: Eukaryota; Metazoa; Chordata; Actinopteri; Pomacentridae.
GACUUGAUGUUUGAAAUACUGACCGACAGCUCAGAUUUAACUGUCUGUAGUUCUGUUUUGAUGGAUGUUAAACUUUCACUCAAAGCCGCCAGGAGCUGGGUCUUUAAAAUAACCACUGUCUCGUUACAGAGUGAAAGUAGCAGUUCCUCCUGAAGGUCAGAGAUUGCAGCAUCUGAGGGCCUCUUCAAAAGAAGACGUAGUUGAUGAAGACGUUCUGGAGCAGGACCAGAAAGACCACGACCAAGCAGCCUUGAGAUCUUAGGCAGCGUCUCCCUCAGUUCUGCUGGACCAGCUCAGCUUCCCCUCAGAAGAAGUGCUGCCACCUGCCAGAUGAAGGAGCCUUUUGAGAUGCAGCUGGCAUCGUGAUUGGACUGUACUUUGGUCUGUUCCAAUCCAGCUUCAGCUCCAGAGACGGCAGGCGGGACGAGUCAACGGAGGCCUGGUGGACGAAGACCAAAGAACUACAGACUCUUCACAACCUGCUCAAACUCUUGGUACAGGACCUCACCACACGGGUCAAGAAGGUUUCUGUCUCAUUUCUACUCUGAAGCUCACCUUCUCCUGCUCAAACUGCUGACAAAUGUUUCUGCUGCUCUAAAGUCUGGUCUCCAGAACUUCCUAAAAACUCUCAAAGUCUCUUCUGCUGCAGGUUGCUUUGUAGAACUGUUCCAGAAAACCUCACUAAACCACAUGGAGGAGCCUCAAGAUAGUCGUCCAAAUGAAACCAUACAAAAACCAAACUAGCACAACCCAAACACUAAAGUCUCCUGCAGCCAACCAGAGAACCUCUGAGAACAGAGAAUCAGGACAGGAACUCUUACCUUCUGGACAACCAACACUGGUUCUCAAACAAGAAUACAGAAUGUGUCUGACCAGAAACCUCUGAAGACUCACUACAGCCAAGAUAAAGACACAACUCAGCUGUACCAAAUCCACUAAUCACUGCACACAUUAGCACCAUGUGCUAACUGUGGCUAAAGAACCACAUUUACCAAGACAACUAUCCAGUACAAAGCCCUAAAACACACCAAGAAACACAUUAAAGAUGAUUUUACUGCUGGAAGCUGCAAGCCAACGCCUAAACAAACUAAAGCAACGGAACCAAACCCAGUUCAGUGGUGAAGAGAAACAGAGGAAAUGUUUGUCUGCAGCUAAAUAAAGCAGGAAGACACUGAGCUGCUCAGGUGUUCCUGAUAACACCAAGCAGCCACCUGGACAGCCAAUAGGAACACAGCUUCCUGGAAGUCCAGAGGGCUGGCUUAGUCAAGGAAAUUUAGUUUAAAGUUGAAGCAGAAAGUUAACAAAGAAAGUUGAAAACCACCUUCUGAUACCUGAAAUCUCUGAGUUUUCACACAAAGAACGCCUGAACAUGUCAAACUGGUUCCAUAGUAGAACCAUCAUUGUAAAAACAUCAUAGUAUGGUGUGUUGCUCAAAAAACAUUAGGACCCAGCUGUCUAAGGUCACUGAGGAGCAACACAAAAACAGGACAAACGCUGGUUUCCAG